CAAUAGCGUAUAUUUAAGUUGUUGCAGUUAAAAAGCUCGUAGUUGGAUUUCGGAUGGGACUUGCCGGUCCGUCGUUUCGAUGUGCACUGGCCAGUCCUAUCUUGUUGUCGGGGACUAGCUCCUGGGCUUCACUGUCCGGGACUAGGAGCUGACGAGGUUACUUUGAGUAAAUUAGAGUGUUCAAAGCAAGCCUACGCUCUGAAUACAUUAGCAUGGAAUAACACGAUAGGACUCUGGCUUAUCUUGUUGGUCUGUGAGACCAGAGUAAUGAUUAAUAGGGACUGUCGGGGGCAUUGGUAUUUGACUGUCAGAGGUGAAAUUCUUAGAUUCGUUGAGGACCAACCACUGCGAAAGCAUUUGUCAAGGAUGUCUCCAUUAA
This 379-nucleotide ribosomal RNA is filed under the name uncultured eukaryote. Its description in RNAcentral is "partial 18S ribosomal RNA". It matches the Rfam family "Eukaryotic small subunit ribosomal RNA", at positions 592 to 976 of the family's 1831-position model. The record is from RNAcentral.